RNAcentral lists this transfer RNA (60 nucleotides) under Acinetobacter baumannii. RNAcentral's name for it is "tRNA-Asn". It matches the Rfam family "tRNA", at positions 7 to 64 of the family's 71-position model. From Rfam's summary of the family: Transfer RNA (tRNA) molecules are approximately 80 nucleotides in length. Their secondary structure includes four short double-helical elements and three loops (D, anti-codon, and T loops). Further hydrogen bonds mediate the characteristic L-shaped molecular structure. tRNAs have two regions of fundamental functional importance: the anti-codon, which is responsible for specific mRNA codon recognition, and the 3' end, to which the tRNAs corresponding amino acid is attached (by aminoacyl-tRNA synthetases). tRNAs cope with the degeneracy of the genetic code in two manners: having more than one tRNA (with a specific anti-codon) for a particular amino acid; and 'wobble' base-pairing, i.e. permitting non-standard base-pairing at the 3rd anti-codon position. RNAcentral also lists the same sequence under 21 other names. Lineage: Bacteria; Pseudomonadati; Pseudomonadota; Gammaproteobacteria; Moraxellales; Moraxellaceae. The record is from RNAcentral.
GUAGUUCAGUCGGUAGAACGGCGGACUGUUAAUCCGUAUGUCACUGGUUCGAGUCCAGUC